RNAcentral lists this ribosomal RNA (150 nucleotides) under Staphylea pinnata. RNAcentral's name for it is "5.8S ribosomal RNA". It matches the Rfam family "5.8S ribosomal RNA". From Rfam's summary of the family: 5.8S ribosomal RNA (5.8S rRNA) is a component of the large subunit of the eukaryotic ribosome. It is transcribed by RNA polymerase I as part of the 45S precursor that also contains 18S and 28S rRNA. Lineage: Eukaryota; Viridiplantae; Streptophyta; Magnoliopsida; Crossosomatales; Staphyleaceae. The record is from RNAcentral.
AACAGAUAUCUCGACUCUCAUAUCGAUUAAGAACAAAGCGAAAUGCGAUACUUGGUGUCAAUUGUAGAAUCUCGUGAACCAUCGAGUCUUUGAAAGCAAGUUGCGCCAAAAGCCAUUAGACCGAGGGCAUGUCUGCUUGGGCGUCACACA